RNAcentral lists this long non-coding RNA (1380 nucleotides) under Anolis carolinensis (green anole). Its description in RNAcentral is "lncRNA (ENSACAG00000037399.1)". Lineage: Eukaryota; Metazoa; Chordata; Lepidosauria; Squamata; Anolidae. The record is from RNAcentral.
GCCGACGAGGGCCACGGGGAAGCCGCGCCCGCCUUGCCGCCUGCCCCCCCCCCCCGCCCCUGUCGAAAUGGCGGCCGCCGGGGAGGCUUCUCCUCCCUCCCUUCCUGCCCUCUCAGAGGGAAAGACAGCCACCUUUUCCUGCCCUCAGAGCGAGGCGUGUCCCCACAAGAUGGGCGCGUUGGGUGGCACCCACCACCCCUUCCCUUCCUUUUUCUUCUUUCUCAUCCCUUCCCCUUCCCCUCGUUUUUCUUCCUUUCCCUCCCCUUUCGUUUCCGUUUCCUUCCGUGCUUUUGCCUUCCCCUCCUUUUCCUCCCUUCCCUUCCUUUCUCUUCCUUUUCCUUCCCGUCCCUUCCUUUGAUUUUUCCUUUCCCUUCCUACCUUUGCCUUCCACUCCCUUUCGUCCUUUCCUUCCCUUCCCCCACCUUUUCUUUCCCUUCCCUUCCUUUCCCUUCCCUUUCCUUUCUUUUUCCUUCCUUUCCUUUCCCUGCCUUUGCAUUCCCCUCCUUUUCCUUCCUUCCCUUCCUUUUCCUUCCUCUCCCCCUCCUUUCCUUUUCCUUUCCUUCCCUUCCCUUGCCUUCAUUCCAUUUCCUUCUCCUUCCCCCUUCCCUUAUCCUUCCUUGCCUUGCCUUCCCCUCCUUUCCUUCCCCUUCCUUUCUUUUUCCUUCCAUUACCCUUCCUUUUUCCUUUCCUUUCCCCCCUCCUUUUUCUUCCUUCCUUCCCUUCCUUUCUUUACCUUUUCGUUCCCCUCCUUUUAUUUCCUUUCCUUUCCUGUCUUUGCCUUCCACUCCUUUUCCUUCCUUCCCUUCCCUUUCUUUCCCUUUCUUUCCAUCCUUUUCCUUCUUUUCCCCUCCUUUUCCUUCCUUCUCUUCCCCUUCCCUUUCCUUUCCUCCUCUUUUGGUAGUGGAGACUUGUCUGUGUGUGUGUUUGCGUGGGGUGCCUCAUUCCCUUUCCAGAAAGAAGGGCUUACCUGUCAGCCAAGAUUUUAAUUAUUAUUAUUUUUAUUAUUAUUAUUUUAUGAAGGCAAAUAUACCCCCCCCCCCAAUCCUGCAUGUCACCAAAGUGUCUGGUUUUAUUUUUAAGGACCCCCUCCCCCGAUCAAAUCUGGCCAAAAAAAGCCCCAUAUAUAAAAGCAGGCUUUUGGAGAUAAUCAGUCUUAAAUGGAAGUAUUUUAGUAAGAUCUGUAGUUUUAACAUGUUUAAUGCUUUUAUUCCAGCAAGAGAAGCUAUUUUUGAUGUUGAUGUUAUAUUAUGGUCUUAUAUGCAAUGGUUCUAUUUUAAGUUAUGUUACUUUGAUCUAUGUACUAUUUUUUGUAUUGUUUUAACUGUUACUUGCUAUAAGCACCCUGAGUCCUUUCUGGGAGAGAGGACGGGAUAUAAAUAA